UUGUAUCCUCUUAAAACUCACUUAUUUCAGCCUUCAAACUUUCCCGCAGUUGGUUUACGGUACGUUCUUUCCUGAGCCUUCCGUGAGCAGCCCGAGAGGAUCAUGGGAGACUGAGUUCAAUUCAGAUAAUAAUCAAUCGAAUUUAGUUUAAGAAAUUCAGCAUAAUCUUAUUCAAUAUAUAUAAAGAUUGAUCAAAGACAAAAUCAAAGCUUUUUACCAACAUUGAAAUAUCAAUAGAACAUAAUAUAAGAUUAGUAACAUUUGUAGGCAAAACAAGACCCACAUGACAACCACUUGGUGACUAAAUCAUCCUAACACUUACCUGGUCUUUCUCCUUGCUCAUGUUUUAUCCCUUUAUUAACCCUUCAAGUCAGAUUUGUACUACCUAAAUCUGCUACAAACAGCUCAUACAUAAUUAAAAACCUUAAUCCUCAUCCACUGAGAGGAUCUGAAUCGUGCAGAAAGUGACAUUAAAUAAAGACAUUAAGGACUGUACAAACAUCAAACCAGUAUUUGACUUUUAUUUUAUCUAAGUGAACUGAAAAAUAAGAAAUAAGUUAACAUUUGAGUCACAGAUCUGUGUACUUGGGUUUUCAUUUGUGUCCGACAAAGAGUCUGAGGUUUCCAAGCAGCCCAAACACACCAUCCUUCAACAGUGUUUUCAAAUCAGAAGAAUUUAACAAUUUCCAACAGCUUCUUUUCUCCACUCUUCAAAUCAAAUCAAACUUUAUUUAUAUAGCACUUUUCAGGCAAAAAAGAAUAGGUGAAUAAAUAGAAUAAGCAUAACAUGUUAAAUGAGGACUAAAAUAUAUUAAUGAAAUAAGAUAAAAGCAAUUCUGAAAGAUAAGAAGGUCCAAGACCCCAAAGACAUUUAAAAACCAUUAAAAGGACCUUAAAAUCAACCCUAAAGCACACAAGGAGCAAAGGCAGUGAUUUUAAAACCGGUGUAAUAUGUGCCCGCCUUCUGGUCCUCGUCAGCACACGUGCUGCUGAGUUUUGCAACAGUUGUUAACUUGCAAUGUUUCUUUUUGGAAGACCAGAAAGCAGGGCAUUACAAUAAUCAAGACGACUGGAGAUAAAAGCAUUCAUUAGCGUCUCUGUGUUAGCCCAGGAGAGAAAGGGGCGGACUCUGGCUAUAUUCUUUAAAUGAUAAAACCCUGUUUUUGUUAUAUUUUUAAUAUGUGGGAUAAAAGUCAGCUCAGAGUCAAAGAUGACGCCUAGAUUCUUUAGCUGAUUUGAUGGAAUUAAGGACAGGGUUUUCAGUUUCGUUAAAACUUUCUCUCCCUGAGCCUUAGGAUGGAUAAUUAAAACCUCAGUUUUGUCCUGGUUGAGCUAUAGGAAGUUUUCUGCCAUCCAGGAUUUAAUGUCAGCUAAAAAGGGCAUCAAUUGGCCCUUUGUCAUCAGGAGACAUGGAUAUGUAUAGCUGUGAAAAGUGAUACCAUGCCUCCUGAUGACAUCUCCCAGUGGGAGCAUACAUAAAUUAAAAUAUCAUUAACAUGUUUCAGUAGUGCAGUCUCUGUACUGUGGUUCGUCCUAAAUCCAGAUUGAAAUUUCUCCAGGAUGGAACGGUUAUUUAAAAUAUUAUUCAACUGAACAAAAAAAUGUUUUUCUAACAUUUUGCUUAAAAAUGGUAAGGUGGACACUGGUCUGUAGUCAUUAAGAACAUUAGGAUCCAAAUUGUUCUUCUUCAGAAGGGGUCUUACUACAGCUGUUCUAAGGGCAGCAGGGAAAGAGCCCGUUUGAAGAGAACAAUUCACUAUAUUUAAAAGCUCACCUUCAAAGAAUCCAUAAAACAUUUUAAAAAGUAAUGUGGGAAUUGGGUCUACAAGGCAGGUUGUUGGUUUUACUUGGAAGAAAACUCUACCAAGCAUCUCAGCAUCAACCAGGACAAAACUGUCCAGUGUUUCCUCAUGUAAAAACAAGCUUUCCACUGUAUUAGAAACAGUGUUUUGAAUAGAUAAAAUAGAGGAUUGUAUAAAAUUAAUUUUACCCCUGAAGUGGUCUGCAAAACCUUUGCAUAGUGUGUCUGAAGGAGUGAUUUGAUAUCUGUUAAAAAACGUGGUUUGACUUCCUGUCACCACCAGAAGUUCCAGUGGUGACAGGAAGUAAAUUUGUGUCAUUUGUGUUUCUAGCAUGGUCAAGAGUGUUUAAUUAAAAAAUUGAGCCUUGGGGGAUUAAUUAAAAAAUGACCCCCAUCCCGUGGGUCACGUGAUUCCUGCGGGAAUCACG
Molecule: long non-coding RNA, 2229 nt
Filed under: Xyrichtys novacula (pearly razorfish)
Lineage: Eukaryota; Metazoa; Chordata; Actinopteri; Labriformes; Labridae
Source: RNAcentral